UGAGGAAUAUUGGGAAAUGCCCGCAAGGGUGACCCAGCAACGCCGCGUGGAGGAUGAAUGUCGUAAGAUUGUAAACUCCUGUUAGAGGGGAAGAAUAGUACCGGUUGGACCGGUAUAUGACUGUACCCUCAGAGAAAGCCCCGGCUAACUACGUGCCAGCAGCCGCGGUAAUACGUAGGGGGCAAGCGUUGUCCGGAUUUACUGGGUGUAAAGGGCGCGCAGGCGGGAUAAAAAGUCAGUGGUGAAAUCCUACAGCUUAACUGUAGAACUGCCUUUGAUACUUUUAUUCUUGAGUUCGGGAGAGAGAGACGGAAUUCCAGGUGUAGUGGUGAAAUACGUAGAUAUCUGGAAGAACACCAGUUGCGAAGGCGGUCUCUUGGUCCGACACUGACGCUGAGGCGCGAAAGCGUGGGGAGCAAACA
Molecule: ribosomal RNA, 422 nt
Filed under: uncultured bacterium
Lineage: Bacteria
Description: bacterial SSU rRNA
Rfam family: Bacterial small subunit ribosomal RNA
Source: RNAcentral